This is a long non-coding RNA of Oncorhynchus tshawytscha (Chinook salmon), 340 nucleotides long. Lineage: Eukaryota; Metazoa; Chordata; Actinopteri; Salmoniformes; Salmonidae. The record is from Ensembl.
GGAGUGGGGGCACAUGAACGCUGGUUACCCAACGGGCUGAGAGGGGAGGAGUGGGGGGCACAUGACCGCUGGUUACCCAAUGGGCUGAGAGGGGAGUGGGGGAGGCACAUGAACGCUGGUUACCCAAUGGGCUGAGAGGGGAGUGGGGAGGCACAUGAAUGCUGGUUACCCAAUGGGCUGAGAGGGGAGUGGGGGGGGGCACAUGACCGCUGGUUACCCAAUGGGCUGAGAGGGGAGUGGGGGCACAUGAACGCUGGUUACCCAAUGGGCUGAGAGGGGAGUGGGGGGCACAUGAACGCUGGUUACCCAAUGGGUUGAGAGGGGGGGCACAUGAACGCUG